UAAUGAUUUUUCUUGUUUAUAGAUAAGGAAGAGAAGGACAAGGGGACGACACAAGUCGACGAACACCCUGGAAGUUGAAUAUCAAGAAAUUGUGUUGAGGUAGGGGAGUUUUAAUCAAAACUAAAAUAUUUUGGUUUUUCAUUUUUACUUGAUCAAGGAUUGAUGACAUUUGAACAUUUUUUAAGCUUACUUAAAAUGUUUUCUUUUUCGAUUAUGUGAAAGAAGUGGAGAAAAUAUUUCACUAUGGUUUGAUCUAAAUGAUUCGAAUUCCGUUACUACAACUUUGGUGAGUUUAAAGUGAUUGAAAUGAUUUUUUUCAAGAUUUUGUUUUGAUGUGCAUGCCUCUUAUUUUACUCAAUACCAAAUAUUGAAGCAUCUCAAUACGAAUGUUCAAAUUGUGAAAGUAGAUGGAAAGUAGUGUAAUACCUGUGCAGUUGAGAAUGUUGAGAAAUGUAUGAAUGGGCACAAUGACCCGUGAAGUUGUUUGAUUAUGGGCACAAUGACCCAAGGUUCCCCGGGGAAAGCUCCAUGUGUGGGGGCUGUGAGAAUGAGUUACGAAAGUGAUAAAUACAUGUGAUAUGUGUAUUGGCCAGGUAUAUUACGGUUCUUUCCAAUCUGCUUGUCACUUGUUUGGGAUAAAAGAAGAUCUUUGUGAUUUGGUGUGCUAGUGAUUCUUUAAAUGAUAAUGGCUUUGUUAUCCUUAUGAAAAAAGAAGUGAUUUUUGAACUUGUGUGUUGUACCGUUAUUAUCAAGCUGCUAAUGCUCCGAAACCUUUGGUUUUUCUGUCAUAUGUUACUUUCCAUAAAUUUUUAAAUUGUUGGAUUACGUGGUGGUGAAAAUAAACCGUUUUGAAUCACUUUUAUUACUUUCGGCAUGCACUAGAGAUUUUAAAUGACUAUGGACUUACCCCUACUGGGCAUUUUAUGCUCACCCCGUUUUUCUACACAUGUACUUUCAGGUGUGUAGGGUCGACUAGCUGAUUUUCAAGUGGCAGCUCUAGUGUGGGUUAGAUAACGGGAGUCCAGGCGUACACUUCUUUUGGGUGAGCUGCCAAAGUGUUUGAAUAGUUAGUUUUUGUUUGUAAAUGAUCAUUUUGUGGCGUAGUAGACUAAAAUGAUGUCGACCUCGGUGGGUUGGAGAUUCUACUUACCUGGGCUAUGAAAAUCAUGUAUAUAUAACUACUCGUCUUUUGGCUUGUAUAGUUUUGCUCAUGUACAUUUUCCUCAAAUGGCCUGAAAAUGUUUUCUUGUUAGAAGACCUAAAGGUCUUUUGUGAACUUAUUUUAAUUAGUAAGGUUUUAUGAAUGGCUCUUGAAGAACCACUAUGAACUUGGUUAUGUUUAAAAUUGUGGGUGUGUAUCUAUUACCUAAGUGGAAUGUUGCAAAAAUUCAGAUUUUUGUUCUUUGGAAUAUAAAUAGUUUUGUUUGCAAAGUAAUUUGGAGCUGCUGAAAUUGUUCUUACAGGAAAACAGCAGCAUGCCUGUUUUAGUUUUAACAUUUUCCUAUACUUACCGAACUCGAAAAUUAAUGAAAUUUUGACACAACUUAGUUUCGUGGGUCUACAUUGGAUCUGGAAAUUUUCAUGCAUUUUGGUUGAACAAGCUAUUUUCGGUGAAUUUUACGGUUCAGGUCGCUUUUGUAGUUUGUAUUACCAUGAGACCUUUAACUCUAUUUCUUUAAAUUGAUUUUUGUAGUUUAACUUUAUGGAAAUUGGGGGAUUUAACUUUUCGUCAACAUAAUCUUAAGAUGAAAUUUGUUUUGCAUCCUUAAACGACCACUUUGUUCUAUUUAUUUUACUUAAUCUCACAUCUCAAGUUUUGGGGUGUGACACAAACCAAACCAAAUGACAACAUGCAUACGUAAGAAAAUUUAAUCAAAUCACACUUGUACACGCCACUCAUUGUACAUAUUCAUACCAAAGUGUUUCUCCAUGUAGUCCAUUCUUGUGUAGGUUGAACAGUCUCAAUCAUAUCUUCAUCAUCAUCACUACUUUCAGAUUCGUCCAAGUUUAGGAUUUCAUUUUCUAUUGGAUCAGCUGACAUAUGCCUUUUAAUAAUAUUAUGUAAUAGGCAUCAGGCUGUCAUAAUCUUAAGUUGUGUUUUAAUUGGGAAAAAUGAUGGACCUCUUAAGAUGCUCCAACGCAUCUUAAGUAAUCCAAAACAUCUCUCAAUGACAUUUCUAGCUUGAGCAUGUUUCAUAUUGAAAUACACUUCAUGAUUAAUCAGGAGUCUUCUAUUUCUCCACUCCGAGAGAUGGUAACGCACUCCCUUAUACAGUGCAAGGUAUCCUGGACCAUUUGUGUACCCACCAUCCACAAGGUAGUAACACCCUAACACACCAAAAAUGUAUAUUACUAUAUAUAAGAAAAAUGAGGAUUCAAAUUACUAAUAUAAACAAAUAAUCUAUUGUUACCCGUGGGAACUUUUAAUCCCGAUGGUCUACUUAUCGCAUCUCGGAGUACUCUAGAAUCAGAGGCCAACCCUUCCCAACUUGGGUACACAAAUAUAAAAUUCAUGCCUAGAUUACAAACUCCCAACAUAUUGGUCGCAAUCUCUCCCUUCCUUGAUCGGUAUCUUGGUUUAUCUCGCUCAGGGACAUGACCGUUAAUGUAAGUCCCAUCCAAUGUCCCCAAGCAAUUCUAAAAAAAAUCAUUAACAUUAGUAAGCUCAAUAUAUUUAAUUACAUUAAUUUUAGAAGUAAUUUUUAUAAAAUAUGAAGAAUACCUCAAACCAACUUCAUUUAGCAUUUGGAUAGGCAUUAGGAAUGGGUUCUGGCACUUUCAAAAGUCUACCUUGUAGCCUUAACACUCCAUGUAGAAUGGAAUUGAAAUACCUACUUAUGGUCUCCCCCGAUCGACAAAACCUACACCCAAUUGUACGAUUCUUGACAUGAUGUGCAAGUAUAUGCAAAAACAUGCAAACUUAUUCUUCCAUUGUCACUACACCAUCCAAUUUUACUCUACCGUGGUCACGAAGCAUUUGACAUAAAUAAUGGAACGUUCUUCUAUCCAUUCUAAUUUGGUUCAUACACUGAACAUCAUCAUAUCCUAUUAUGAUGUCUAAAUAGGCUAACCCUACCAUUCUCCUAACAAAUGUGCUAUUUCUAAGUGCAAGUUGCCGAUUCUGCCUUCUAGCUGAAUUAUGAUUCAUCAUGAACCACAUCAUCAACCAAGUCACAAUAUUCAAGUACCACAACUUAACAAUGAAGCAUGCCACAAUCUUUCUUUGAUCCAUGUCUAGUGAAAAUAUAAAAUAACAUUAUUAGAUAGUGGCAAAAAAUUAAGUAACUAGAGCAUGAAUGCAUAAUAACACUAAAAACGGAAGGAAACAUGUUAAUAAGUCCUACCAAAAAAUGUCAUAGGCAGAUAAUAAAUCCUACAGACUGUUGGGGUGAUCAGAAGGAAAAAUUACAAUGAAAUCAGAAAGAUGUCUUAACAUUCAUCAAUCAAGGAAACAUGUUACGAAUCGAAUUCAAAAAAUCAAAACACCAAGUUCCGGUGAGAAAAGAAGUCUAGUCUAUGAUGGCACUUUGUACGACCUCAAAGCAUUAUAUAUUCAUCACCUCAUGUUGCAUUAAAAUUGAGUGUCAUGUUGCAUCAAAAUUAAGCCGUAACAUCAGAAGAGCAGCAACUCUCCAUUUCUUCUCUAUUUCUCACUCACACUCUUUUUUCUAAAAGGCAAUUACUUUACAAAGUGGAAUAAAUGCCAAUCAACAAUUCAACAACCCUAGUCCAAAAUUAUUCACACA
This 3746-nucleotide long non-coding RNA is filed under the name Malus domestica (apple). Its description in RNAcentral is "long non-coding RNA (MDOM_LNC008746)". Lineage: Eukaryota; Viridiplantae; Streptophyta; Magnoliopsida; Rosales; Rosaceae. The record is from RNAcentral.